This 402-nucleotide ribosomal RNA is filed under the name uncultured Mesorhizobium sp. Its description in RNAcentral is "bacterial SSU rRNA". It matches the Rfam family "Bacterial small subunit ribosomal RNA", at positions 355 to 774 of the family's 1533-position model. Lineage: Bacteria; Pseudomonadati; Pseudomonadota; Alphaproteobacteria; Hyphomicrobiales; Phyllobacteriaceae. The record is from RNAcentral.
UGGGGAAUAUUGGACAAUGGGCGCAAGCCUGAUCCAGCCAUGCCGCGUGAGUGAUGAAGGCCCUAGGGUUGUAAAGCUCUUUCAACGGUGAAGAUAAUGACGGUAACCGUAGAAGAAGCCCCGGCUAACUUCGUGCCAGCAGCCGCGGUAAUACGAAGGGGGCUAGCGUUGUUCGGAAUUACUGGGCGUAAAGCGCACGUAGGCGGAUAUUUAAGUUAGGGGUGAAAUCCCAGGGCUCAACCCUGGAACUGCCUCUAAUACUGGGUAUCUCGAGUCCGAGAGAGGUGAGUGGAAUUCCGAGUGUAGAGGUGAAAUUCGUAGAUAUUCGGAGGAACACCAGUGGCGAAGGCGGCUCACUGGCUCGGUACUGACGCUGAGGUGCGAAAGCGUGGGGAGCAAACA